CAGCCCUAAACGAUGCGCGUUAGGUGUAUCGGUGACCACGAGUCACCGAGGUGCCGAAGGGAAACCGUGAAACGUGCCGCCUGGGAAGUACGGUCGCAAGGCUGAAACUUAAAGGAAUUGGCGGGGGGAGCACCACAACGGGUGGAGCCUGCGGUUUAAUUGGAUUCAACGCCGGAAAUCUUACCGGGACCGACAGCAACAUGAAGGCCAGGCUGAAGACUUUGCCGGAUUAGCUGAGAGGAGGUGCAUGGCGUAGUCGUGU
This 262-nucleotide ribosomal RNA is filed under the name uncultured archaeon. RNAcentral describes it as "partial 16S ribosomal RNA". It matches the Rfam family "Archaeal small subunit ribosomal RNA", at positions 748 to 1009 of the family's 1478-position model. The record is from RNAcentral.